Molecule: ribosomal RNA, 313 nt
Filed under: uncultured Lactococcus sp.
Lineage: Bacteria; Bacillati; Bacillota; Bacilli; Lactobacillales; Streptococcaceae
Description: bacterial SSU rRNA
Rfam family: Bacterial small subunit ribosomal RNA
Source: RNAcentral
GUCAAGAACGGGUGUGAGAGUAGGAAAGUUCACACUAUGACGGUAUCCAACCAGAAAGCCACGGCUAACUACGUCGCCAGCAGCCGACGGUAAUACGUAGGUGGCAAGCGUUAUCCGGUAUUUAGUUGGGACGUAAAGCGAGCGCAGGUCGUUUUAAGUCUGAUGUGAAAGCCCUCGGCUUAACCGAGGAAGUGCAUCGGAAGCUGGGAAACUUGAGUGCAGAAGAGGACAGUGGAACUCCAUGUGUAGCGGUGAAAUGCGUAGAUAUAUGGAAGAACACCAGUGGCGAAGGCGGCUGUCUGGUCUGUAACUG